RNAcentral lists this small RNA (440 nucleotides) under Histoplasma ohiense. RNAcentral's name for it is "hypothetical lncRNA". The record is from RNAcentral. Lineage: Eukaryota; Fungi; Ascomycota; Eurotiomycetes; Onygenales; Ajellomycetaceae.
CACACCAAACCACCAGUUCUUUUCUUUUCUUUUCUUCUUUAUUAUUGAAUGCUUGGGGAAUUGCAGAGUACAUCUACGCAUAGUGUUUUUAAAGUAGUGCACAUGAAAAACAUUGGUUCCAUUGGUUCUGUCGUGUGCCAUUAAUACACAUCUCCAUGUGUUUUGUGGUCAACAGCGAUUUUCUCUAUUUCCUUUAUCUCAUUACCUUGGUUAUGGUUAUCUCUGCCAUCCCAUCAGUUUAUCUACUGUAUAUGAUGUCUGAAACUCGGAGUGUCCUGUGAUGGUUGAGCGCAUCAAUGCGUGGCCGUGUUGGAGUCCGAAUUCUCUCUUGCUGUGCUGGGAACAACAUCUCGCCUAAGCAAACCCCUUAGUUAACCCCUUGACCUCCUUUCCUCGUUCUAUCAACCUCCUAGCAAAUGCACCGUCAACACAAUAGCCAG